This 497-nucleotide ribosomal RNA is filed under the name uncultured bacterium. RNAcentral describes it as "partial 16S ribosomal RNA". It matches the Rfam family "Bacterial small subunit ribosomal RNA", at positions 28 to 507 of the family's 1533-position model. The record is from RNAcentral.
GAUGAACGCUGGCGGCGUGCCUAAUACAUGCAAGUCGAGCGAACAGACGAGGAGCUUGCUCCUCUGACGUUAGCGGCGGACGGGUGAGUAACACGUGGAUAACCUACCUAUAAGACUGGGAUAACUUCGGGAAACCGGAGCUAAUACCGGAUAAUAUAUUGAACCGCAUGGUUCAAUAGUGAAAGACGGUUUUGCUGUCACUUAUAGAUGGAUCCGCGCCGCAUUAGCUAGUUGGUAAGGUAACGGCUUACCAAGGCGACGAUGCGUAGCCGACCUGAGAGGGUGAUAGGCCACACUGGAGCUGAGACACGGUCCAGACUCCUACGGGAGGCAGCAGUAGGGAAUCUUCCGCAAUGGGCGAAAGCCUGACGGAGCAACGCCGCGUGAGUGAUGAAGGUCUUCGGAUCGUAAAACUCUGUUAUUAGGGAAGAACAAAUGUGUAAGUAACUAUGCACGUCUUGACGGUACCUAAUCAGAAAGCCACGGCUAACUACGUG